UUAUCUGCAGCUGGAAAAUGGGACCUCCUGAGAAAAAGUCGAAAAAACAUAAAAAAGAGAAGCAGAAUGCCAAGAGUGCACUAAAUCUGAAACCAGAUGUUACGGAAGAAGAAAAACAUCCACCAAAGAGUCCGAAAAAACGGAAGCAUGCAUCUCCUGUGAGAGAAAGUCCUCUACCCGAAAGCCCCUCAAAGAAGAAGAAACACGCCUUAGAUUUCUUCACAGCCUCUCCAAAGCAAAAAGUAGCCCUGGACACUUCUACGGCCUCCCCGAAAAAGAAGAUCAAAUUUGAUGAAAGCAAUACAGUUGGAUCUGAAAACUCAGCCGCUGAAAGCAAUCAGAAGCCGUUGCAGAACUGUAAUAAUAAGGAAGCAGAGACCUCAGACACAUCUGCAGAACCGAGGAAGAAUGACAUAUUUGGUUGGCCACAGAAAGAUGUUAAGAAGCUUAUCGAACGACUCAUCCUAGAGACCACCAAUAAUAUCAAGUCUACUAAAUCAACAAUUGCACCUCAGAAAAUAAAUUGGGACAAGGUCAAAUUUGACAAGUAUAGCGCUGAUGAAUGUCUUAACAUGUGGCUCCAUGUUGAUAGCAAUCAAAGAAAGUUCAGGACAUUAGCUGAAAUUCUGGAAGACGCUGCAAAGUGGGUAGAAAAACCCCACUACAGUAUGAAUAAUUUCAGGAGGAUCUUUCCAGACAUGCCAAAGCAACCUAUGUCAGCCUUUUUCCUUUUUUCUCAAGAAAAAAGAUGACCUGCGGCAAAAAUAUCCAGAUUUAUCUUU
Molecule: long non-coding RNA, 782 nt
Filed under: Bemisia tabaci
Lineage: Eukaryota; Metazoa; Arthropoda; Insecta; Hemiptera; Aleyrodidae
Description: lncRNA ENSSSA1NGG010051
Source: RNAcentral